GGGGCCACCUCAGGUGUGCGGGACGGGGCCACCUCAGGUGUGCGGGACGGGGCCGACACAGGUGCGAGGGGCUCCAGAGCGGCUGCGCGGGGUGCGACCGAGGGCACUUAAACCCCGGAACGGCGGCGGCCGCCAUUUUCUCCCAGUGCCGGGAGGAGCUGGCUGCAGCCGCUCCGGCCCCACUGCACAGCACUGGACUAAACACUACUCUCAUACCUGGUCCUCAAAUCAGAAGUGACAACACAAAGUUGUUUGAGUUCAAACACCACUCUGUUUGAAGAUCGAAGUACGGGGUUGCUGGCUGACCUUUUUUUGAUCCUGACUUCCACAGCCAAUAAAUCCAAAUUUAAAAUCUAGGUAGUUGCUGUGAAACCGUACAAACAGAGGAAAGAGAAUCCCAGCAGGAGUGCUUCAAGCCAGAAGAUAUUUUGUAGAGAGGAAAAGCAGCCUUGCCCAGUGGCAGAAAUCAUGCCUUGUCCCGUGCCAAAAAAAAUGGCUGUGCUGUGAAGAGACAACAAGAGGAUGAGGGGAUAGGGAGGGACAUCUGGGCAGGACAGAGAACUUCCAGCAGGUGACCUUCAUGCCCAGUCUUUACUGAACUUGUUUCUUCCUGUCUUAACAACCCAGUCUUGUCCACAUACACUCAGUUGCCAGUGCUUCUGCCCUCAGCAGCCUUGUUGCUGAGGAGACCAUUAAGGUGCCUGAAGAGCACGUGGCUAAAAUGCUCUUUUAUCCCUGCAGUUACUUCAGUUGCUGAUGUUGUCUCUAAGUAGACACUUCUUAGAAGCUUACCUCAAACCCAGGAACACAUCUAGCUGAAACUCAGAGUGAAGCUUUUAGCCUCAGCACACGUGAUGCUGUCCACAGCUCUUCAGGCUUUUGUCUUGCCUGGUGCUGGGUUUUAUCUUAACAGCUCCUGACAGAGGGGAAAGAUGGGGGUGCUGCAGCCAGCCAGAAGCAGUUGUCUUGCUUCUUUUGCAGCACUGCUUCCACAGUGCUAGGAGAGGCAAUAAAAAACCAAAUGGCUAUAGGAAGUUUUGCCACUGCUUUAACAGUAACACCAGGUAAGAAAGAGAAAAGCACAUCUGGUUUUCAGUGGGGGAAAAAAAUGUAUCAUGCAGGAAUUGUAUUCUAUGAAUAAACCACAGUCAGUUCUGCUUUCCUGCCUCAGGGCUUGAAGCUGUGGGCUGCCCUGAGCCAUAUCACGUGUUUGGCACUGGAUGGAGAAAAGUUUUAGAUUUCUUUCCAUCAGCCAGUCAUACCCAGAGCUUUAACUACCCUGUCAUGCUCAGCAGCUGUACCUAGAAUGAGAGUUAGGUGCUGGGCAGGAAAGAAGCUGUUCCAGAGAAGGAAGAAACAUGGCUUUCCACUGUGUUAAGAGCUGUUGACUGACUGAUACUGCCUGGUUUUCUUUGUGCUUCUAGCCUAGAGGCUUCAGCUUCUCCCAGCAGCUUUUCUCUGGCCUUGCUCCCUGUGCCAGGUUUCCCUGCACAACCCAUGAGGUUGGUGGCAGUUUUCUGUAUCUCCCAAAGGGGUCUGCUCAGUAAUGGAGAAUGAGAGGUUUCCCUCUGCUAUUUAUUUUGCCAUUAAAAUCAGUCCAAACUUCUCA
This is a long non-coding RNA of Parus major (Great Tit), 1609 nucleotides long. RefSeq lists it as uncharacterized. The record is from RefSeq and is a predicted model, not a curated record. The transcript has 2 exons. Lineage: Eukaryota; Metazoa; Chordata; Aves; Passeriformes; Paridae.